AAGUCGUAACAAGGUUUCCGUAGGUGAACCUGCGGAAGGAUCAUUACCAAUUUUAUCGGGGGACUACGGUCCCUGUCUGAACCCUUGUCUUUUGCGUACUAUUUGUUUCCUCGGUGGGCUUUGCCUGCCGAUAGGACACGAUUAAACCCUUUGUAAUUGCAAUCAGCGUCAGAAAAACAUAAUAAUUACAA
This 191-nucleotide unclassified non-coding RNA is filed under the name plant metagenome. Its description in RNAcentral is "partial contains small subunit ribosomal RNA and internal transcribed spacer 1". The stretch from base 1 to 46 matches the Rfam family "Eukaryotic small subunit ribosomal RNA", at positions 1786 to 1831 of the family's 1831-position model. The record is from RNAcentral.